UUACAAGAAUUUUUAUAAAAAACUUCCACUUUUAAAUGCAAAUGCAAAUAUGACAUAAUUCUCUUCGUCACUUUCAAAGAGAAACAAAACAAGCAGUAGCCAAUGAUUUCCAAAAAGUGGGUAAAUUAUAAAACAAGAAGUUAUUUUUAGACAACGAACGUGUCAAGUGGGGAAGAGUGUGUGUCAAACGGGGAAGAGUACGUUUCCGGGUAACUUUCCAACAAAAUCGCUCGCCAAAAGUCGGAUUUGGGUGUAUUUAAGUUUAUGUCGAAAAAAAUAAAAUGUAAUGCGGUUUUCUUAUUUUCUGGUACGGCAAGUUCACUGGAAAAAUAUUUUAAGGGGGAUAUGUAGUACGCAGAAGAAGAAUUAAAGUUCAUCAACAAAUAAUUUAUUUUUUGUUAACAAGGAGCUUCCUGGUUUAAUACAAGAAUUUAAAAAUUUACCUAAAUCUUGAAAGAAGAAAAACAAAACGUUUUUUCUUACUGAUUAACGACAACAGAAGCGUUCGUUGAAUGAAGCAGAAACACAAAAGAAACUUCAGGGCUAAGGAAAACGUUUGAAAGACAAUUCGAAUAAUAAAGAUAGUGUAAAAAAAAAAGGAAAAGGGAAAGCAGUUAGCAAAAUUGGAAAAGCUAAUAACAAGACUACAUAAAAAAACGUCUGUUCGGUUUUAGACCAGACCGGUCGUUCAUCCACA
Hydractinia symbiolongicarpus is the source of this 697-nucleotide long non-coding RNA. RefSeq lists it as uncharacterized. The record is from RefSeq and is a predicted model, not a curated record. NCBI's taxonomy places the organism in Eukaryota, Metazoa, Cnidaria, Hydrozoa, Anthoathecata, Hydractiniidae. The transcript has 2 exons.